RNAcentral lists this ribosomal RNA (592 nucleotides) under fungal sp. KF-3. RNAcentral describes it as "LSU rRNA". It matches the Rfam family "Eukaryotic large subunit ribosomal RNA", at positions 50 to 656 of the family's 3401-position model. Lineage: Eukaryota; Fungi. The record is from RNAcentral.
GCGGAGGAAAAGAAACCAACAGGGAUUGCCCUAGUAACGGCGAGUGAAGCGGCAAUAGCUCAAAUUUGAAAGCUGGCCUCUGGUCCGCAUUGUAAUUUGUAGAGGAUGCUUUUAGGCAGCCGCCGGUCUAAGUUCCUUGGAACAGGACGUCAUAGAGGGUGAGAAUCCCGUAUGUGACCGGCUCAGGCACCUUCUGUAAAGCUCCUUCGACGAGUCGAGUUGUUUGGGAAUGCAGCUCUAAAUGGGAGGUAAAUUUCUUCUAAAGCUAAAUACUGGCGAGAGACCGAUAGCGCACAAGUAGAGUGAUCGAAAGAUGAAAAGCACUUUGGAAAGAGAGUUAAAAAGCACGUGAAAUUGUUGAAAGGGAAGCGCUUGCAAUCAGACUUGGCUUAGAUUGUUCAACCGGUCUUCUGACCGGCCUAUUCAUUCUGAGCCAGGCCAGCAUCAGUUUCGGCGGCCGGAUAAAGGCCUUGGGAAUGUGGCCCUCCCUUCGGGGUGGGUGUUAUAGCCCAGGGUGUAAUACGGCCAGCCGGGACUGAGGUCCGCGAUUCGUCUAGGAUGCUGGCGUAAUGGUUGUAAGCGGCCCGUCUUG